This 68-nucleotide transfer RNA is filed under the name Acrossocheilus yunnanensis. Its description in RNAcentral is "tRNA-Glu". The record is from RNAcentral. Lineage: Eukaryota; Metazoa; Chordata; Actinopteri; Cypriniformes; Cyprinidae.
GUUCCUGUAGUUGAAUACAACGGUGGUUCUUCAAAUCAUUGGUCUCAGUUAAAGCCUGAGUGGGAAUU